CUCAGCAGUGCCGACAGGACGGUGACCACAUAGCUUUGUGAAGCACCACGUCGCAUGUCUCCUGGGAAGACAGUUCCCACACACCUCUUCAAGGAAUACGUUUCACUAAGUUAGCAAAGGCACUCACAAGUCCCUUCUGGGUAGUGGUGUUAACCGUGGCUGGAGAACAGCAGCAACCAGAGCUGGUGCCUACUGCUGUGGGGAGGAGGCACGCUAAUGCUACUCAGACAGUGUGGUGCGAGGAGCCUGCCCCAGGCCGGGCUGGGAGACAACCAGGAAAUCAGUGUGAGUAAGGUAUAUUUAGAGCCAUCCCAGUAUAUGCAAUUCAAAACAUUUAAUAUAGUUUGAAACACAGGCCUCAGAACUGAUGUAUUAACUGCAUAAUAGCAGGAGGAUUAUGGAUCGGACCCAACACUACCAGACUCCCACUGAUUGCACUGAGCUUUGGAGCAGGCUUGGCGAGAGGCUAUGAAGAUUGGAGGAUUGUGCCAUAUUGCUCUGAGCAUCUCCAGCUAUCCUUGAAGCCUGUGGCAGCAACCCAAGAUUUCUUUGGAUCAAGCCUUCACUCAUUCAGAAGCACCUUUCAUAGUCCACAGUAGGAGUGGUUCAGUGGAGCUAGAACAUGCAUAGCAGUGGCCAAGAAGCAUGUUAGGAGACUGGAUACCCAAAGCAGAGAGCUAUAAGCAGUAAGCAACCUGACAAGUCUGAGGCUG
Pezoporus flaviventris is the source of this 713-nucleotide long non-coding RNA. RefSeq lists it as uncharacterized. The record is from RefSeq and is a predicted model, not a curated record. Lineage: Eukaryota; Metazoa; Chordata; Aves; Psittaciformes; Psittacidae. The transcript has 3 exons.